This 480-nucleotide ribosomal RNA is filed under the name uncultured bacterium. RNAcentral's name for it is "partial 16S ribosomal RNA". It matches the Rfam family "Bacterial small subunit ribosomal RNA", at positions 28 to 523 of the family's 1533-position model. The record is from RNAcentral.
GACGAACGCUGGCGGCGUGCUUAACACAUGCAAGUCGAGCGAGAGAAAUUCCUUCGGGAAGGACUCUAGCGGCGGACGGGUGAGUAACACGUGGGUAACCUGCCUCAUAGAGGGGAAUAGCCUUUCGAAAGGAAGAUUAAUACCGCAUAAGAUUGUAGUAUCGCAUGAUGCAGCAAUUAAAGGAGUAAUCCGCUAUGAGAUGGACCCGCGUCGCAUUAGCUAGUUGGUGAGGUAACGGCUCACCAAGGCGACGAUGCGUAGCCGACCUGAGAGGGUGAUCGGCCACAUUGGGACUGAGACACGGCCCAGACUCCUACGGGAGGCAGCAGUGGGGAAUAUUGCACAAUGGGGGAAACCCUGAUGCAGCAACGCCGCGUGAGUGAUGACGGUCUUCGGAUUGUAAAACUCUGUCUUCAGGGACGAUAAUGACGGUACCUGAGGAGGAAGCCACGGCUAACUACGUGCCAGCAGCCGCCGUAA